AAAUGGUGGGGUGGCGUUGGUUCCUGUCCUAGGACAGGCGAAGAGGGAAUGCGAUAGGGCUCUAGCCGCGAAGCUUGGACCUGAAGCGCAGCCGCCCCCGCGACCGUGACCGGAGAGAUCUCUAGGAGCCACUGACCCGUCAAGGGUUGGGAAGGUGGAGAUCGAAGGGAAAACCUGCUCCGCAAGCCGGGAGACCUGCCAGCGCAGAGACUUGAGA
This 217-nucleotide non-coding RNA is filed under the name Bradyrhizobium lablabi. The record is from RNAcentral. Lineage: Bacteria; Pseudomonadati; Pseudomonadota; Alphaproteobacteria; Hyphomicrobiales; Nitrobacteraceae.